GGUACCCUAGCUCAGUUGGUAGAGCAACGGACUGAAAAUCCGUAGGUCGUUGGUUCAACUCCAACGGGUACCA
RNAcentral lists this transfer RNA (73 nucleotides) under Bacteroidota bacterium. RNAcentral describes it as "tRNA-Phe". It matches the Rfam family "tRNA". From Rfam's summary of the family: Transfer RNA (tRNA) molecules are approximately 80 nucleotides in length. Their secondary structure includes four short double-helical elements and three loops (D, anti-codon, and T loops). The record is from RNAcentral. RNAcentral also lists the same sequence under 1 other name. Lineage: Bacteria; Pseudomonadati; Bacteroidota.